GAUGAAGAACGCAGCGAAAUGCGAUAAGUAAUGUGAAUUGCAGAAUUCAGUGAAUCAUCGAAUCUUUGAACGCACAUUGCGCCCGCUGGUAUUCCGGCGGGCAUGCCUGUUCGAGCGUCAUUUCAACCCUCAAGCUCUCCGGAGUUUGGUGUUGGGGCGCCUGGGGCUUUUCGACCUCAGGGCCCUCAAGUCCAUCGGCGGGACCGCCAGGACACUGAGCGCAGUAGUAUUAUUUCGCUCGGUAGGAUCUUCCACGGCGGGUCGAUCUGGCCGCUAAACCCCCCAAUUCUCACCAAAGGUUGACCUCGGAUCAGGAAGGAAUACCCGCUGAACUUAAGCAUAUCAAUAAGCGGAGGA
This 357-nucleotide unclassified non-coding RNA is filed under the name soil metagenome. Its description in RNAcentral is "partial contains 5.8S ribosomal RNA, internal transcribed spacer 2, and large subunit ribosomal RNA". The stretch from base 1 to 120 matches the Rfam family "5.8S ribosomal RNA", at positions 35 to 154 of the family's 154-position model. The record is from RNAcentral.